This 740-nucleotide ribosomal RNA is filed under the name uncultured bacterium. RNAcentral's name for it is "bacterial SSU rRNA". It matches the Rfam family "Bacterial small subunit ribosomal RNA", at positions 33 to 773 of the family's 1533-position model. The record is from RNAcentral.
ACGCUAGCGGGAGGCCUAACACAUGCAAGCCGAGCGGUAGGGUUUCUUCGGAAACCUGAGAGCGGCGCACGGGUGCGGAACACGUGUGCAACCUACCUUUAUCAGGGGGAUAGCCUUUCGAAAGGAAGAUUAAUACCCCAUAAUAUAUUAGAUGGCAUCAUUUGAUAUUGAAAACUCCGGUGGAUAGAGAUGGGCACGCGCAAGAUUAGAUAGUUGGUGAGGUAACGGCUCACCAAGUCAAUGAUCUUUAGGGGGCCUGAGAGGGUUAUCCCCCACACUGGUACUGAGACACGGACCAGACUCCUACGGGAGGCAGCAGUGAGGAAUAUUGGACAAUGGGUGAGAGCCUGAUCCAGCCAUCCCGCGUGAAGGACGACGGCCCUAUGGGUUGUAAACUUCUUUUGUAUAGGGAUAAACCUUUCCACGUGUGGAAAGCUGAAGGUACUAUACGAAUAAGCACCGGCUAACUCCGUGCCAGCAGCCGCGGUAAUACGGAGGGUGCAAGCGUUAUCCGGAUUUAUUGGGUUUAAAGGGUCCGUAGGCGGACUCGUAAGUCAGUGGUGAAAUCUCAUAGCUUAACUAUGAAACUGCCAUUGAUACUGCGGGUCUUGAGUAAGGUAGAGGUAGCUGGAAUAAGUAGUGUAGCGGUGAAAUGCAUAGAUAUUACUUAGAACACCAAUUGCGAAGGCAGGUUACCAUGUCUUAACUGACGCUGAUGGACGAAAGCGUGGGGAGCGAAC